Molecule: RNA transcript, 3736 nt
Organism: Drosophila mauritiana
Lineage: Eukaryota; Metazoa; Arthropoda; Insecta; Diptera; Drosophilidae
Gene: Rip11
Gene name: rab11 family-interacting protein 1
Exons: 7
Source: RefSeq, a predicted model, not a curated record
CUUUUGCAGCUCCCCGACAGGCAUUGGGCACAUUUCGUUUCCCCCAAACGGUCACUCUAGCGGCCACCUUCGAAACAACAACAUCACGCGUCGCGUCUCUCCGUCUUUUUCCUUUUUUUUUACAUUAGACUACACUACGUUCUCCUGGCGUUUCGUUCGUGUCGCGCGUGAUUAAAUUGGCAACUGAGAACAAUAAGAAGAAAUCACAGUGUGCGAGCAACAAACACAACAAUUAGUGUAAACAAAACACCCCGACAACAACAAUCCAAAUUGCAAAAAAGGCAACAAAGAAGAAACGAAAGGCAGGACCUUCGCAGCAAGAGCGAGACAGCAAAGGAUCGGGAUCGGGAGAGAGCGUGAGAGUGCGAGUUGAUCAACGGGAUACAGGGUGACAUGUGGAGUCCGACGCACUGUAGUGUAACGGUGCAGCGAGCGCGUGGGCUGCUCACCAAGGGCAAGAAUGGCACCAACAACUGUUUCGUCACCAUUGCUCUGGGCAAGGAGAAGUACCAGACGUCCGUCAAGGACAAGGCCGAGACGAGCGUCAACUGGAACGAGGAGUGCGAACUGAAAAUUCCCGAUCAGGGUAAUCGCGCCGAGCUCACUUUGACCUGCCUGCACAGGAACAAUCUGGGCAUCGAUGAGUUCCUCGGUCAGGCGACGCUGCCGCUCAACGAGAUGGAUGUGUACGACCGGCCACGCGCCAAGUGGUUCAAGCUGGAGAGCAAGCCCGGCAAGGAGAAGAAGAACAAGGAGCGCGGCGAGCUGGAGGUGCGCAUCGCCUUCGUGGUCAAGUCCGGCUCGCUGACCGAUCUCAGCAAGAAGGACAAGCACAAGUCUUCCAUUGGCCAGCUGGCCAGCUCAGUCGGUGGCAGUCUGUUGUCCAUCGGCAACGGCGAGAAACGGCGCGGCAUCAAGAAGCUGGCUGGCUCGCUUAGCUCCAAGCUGCACAUUCGCAGCAAGAAGAAGAACCAGGAGGCGGGCGCCGACGAUAGCAGCUCCUUCGGCGGCUCCUUCGCCAGCCUGGGCACGCCCAACAGCUCCAACGGCAGGGGCCAGAAUGGUGGCAGUGGCCGGCGACGUGGCGGCCAGCGGGCGGGCGAAGCCGAUCCCGGCGUGAUCAGCGAGGACGAGGACGAGUUUGUGUUCGACAACCUCUCGCACAAGAGCUCCGGCAGCUCACUUAACAUCCAACGUAGCGGGCUGCAGCCGCCGCCAGUCGGUACGCCCAACUUUACGCCGCGUCACCCAUCGCCCCUGCUGAACAACGGAGUUAGUGGCGUCGGAAGCGGCAGCGCGAAAGGUAAGCAAGCGGUAUUGCCAGCGACGCUCGAUGAGGAUGCGUCCAUUGACGCGGAGAUGGAACAGCUUGAGCUAGAUUUCAGUGUUCGUGCCCACGCCCGCGCCAACGCUAACGCCAGCGCCAGCGCCAGCGGCAAUGCCAGCACCCUGCCGCCUCCCUCGAAACCACCGCGCAUUCCCCUGUCGCAGGUGGACGAGCAGCCGGCUGCUGGGAGUCUGGAGCGGGAAAAGCCAAAGGAGAAGCCAGCCGAGGUGGAAAGCGACAAGGACGAGUGGGCGUCAAAGUUGUAUGGCGGUGGAAAGUACCUGGAGAUCGGUAGCAGUAACUCAUUGAAACGCCGCAGCUGGGAGGACCGAGUUCCACUCCCCGCCAGUGUCGAGGAGCCGCCGACAUUGCACUCGUCCAGUUCGUCGUCCAGUUCGGAUAGCGAUGACGACGACGAGAAUCCGCCGCAGGCAGCUCCCCCACCAGUACCCGUGCCGGCUUCUCUACCAGUUCCAUCUGCUGCUGCUGCUGCUGCUACUGUUACUGCUUCUGCUGAGCCAGUGGUGGCUACUUCAUCGUCGCUCUUCUCCCCCGACGUGGAGCACCGCAACUUUGAUACCUUCAACGCUAGUUUCGCCAAGUACGAGCAGCGAAACAGCACUGCUAUUUUUGCAGAUGAGCCCGAGUUGGAAGACCUAACAGUGGAGCUUGAGAAGCCGGCGCCCACUCCCACAGCACGCCCCAAACCGCAGCCACGUGCUACGGCCGAUCUGAGGGCGGAGGAGGAGAAGGCUAAGGAAGAGGCUGCACGGCAACUGCGUGCCGAGGAGGAUGCCCGCUUGGAGGCGGAGCUGCGUCUGAAUGAGGAGCGCCUACGCGAAGAAGAGGAGGCUAUGCAGCGAGAGCUGGAGGAAGAGAAGGAGCGCCAAAAGCAGCUGCAGAUGGAUGAGCAGCAGCGGCGUGAGGCCAAGCGCUGGGAAGAAGACCAACGGCUUUUGAGCUUUGCCAAGCGAUCCACAUCCCUCGAGGAGCCAGUCCCAGAGAAGCAGGAGCUUAAGCAUGCGAGGGAGCUCGUGGCCAAGCAGGAGCCGGAGGAAACGCUGGAUACGGCAGAGCCAGAGCCGGAGCACAACUUCCUAACGCCCGAACAGUCGCCCAAGGAGUUCCAGACGAAUGGCAGUGGCAGAGGCAGCGGGGAUCGCUGGGAGAAACGACUGGGCAAAUUCAAAUACGGCAACAAGCGAGAUAAAUACAACAACGACAACGACAGCAACUCGCCCAGUCCCAAGUCCACGGAGCGCAUCAUAAUUGGUCACGAGAAGUCGGGAUCGCAUGCGGAUCGCCGCUCGGAGAUAUCCGCCCAGCUGGCCAAGAAAUACGAGGGCAAGUCGCGCGAGGAACUUAUGCUAAUUGCCAACGGAAUGGAGAACGAGGCUCUGCUGCAGCGGCAGCGCGUGAAGGAGCUGGAGGACUAUCUGGACAACCUGCUGCUGCGCGUGAUGGAGACGCACCCGAAGAUCCUGCAGAAUCCCUAUUCGCGCACCACGUCCGCCAAGAGUUAUAAAAAUUACAUCAAUAUGAAUGACUUUCUAAAGUAAGUGCUGCGCAUGCUGCAAGUUGCAUUUAAGUAGACACUUAACCAACAAUCCCCAACAACAACAACAUCACCACCAACAACACCACAACCCCCAACAAGAACAACAACGACAACCAGAACUGCGAGACACGAGUAACAAGAACUAUAAACACCGCCGGCCGAGAAAGAAGUGAAGGAACCACUGAGGCGGGAUCGAACGGCUAAACAAACAGCCAAACAACCGGUUCACUUGUCGCAGAGCAGCUGGAGAAGAUCUGCGGAGGCUGCUCCGGAAGCUGUUGAGUCGAAACGAAUCGAAACACCACGUUGCCUUUGCCGCGAGCAGCAAAAUUCAAGUGCUUUCUAAAACGUAUUGCUAAGAGGGAAACUAAGUGUACGCGUAAAACAGUUAGGCUUAAGGAGUGCAAAAUCUAUAUUGAUAUUUUAUUGUGUGUAGCAUUCGUACUUUUUCAUUUAGAAAUCCCCCCCCCACACACACACACACUAAACAGAACUAAAUUAAUUGUACUAUAUGUUUAUCCUGGCAAUUGACGCUAUUUGCUUGUCAAUUGAUUGAAAUUAUUCGAAAGUAUUGUGUUUGUUUUUUUUGUAUGACCCACUUUUUUUUGUAGUGUUGUGCGACAAGAGUUUGAGAAGUUUUUGUAAAGUGCUGCCUGGGAAGUGGCCUUAGUGAAUUAAGAGAAUUAAAUUAUUUAUGUUUUAGCGAUUAAGCGAAAAGUGGGAAAGGGGGACCACCCACGUAUGUCCCCCGCGAAAAAAAACACCACACACAGUUGAAAUAUGUUGAUACUACAAUGAUUUUACUUAUUGAUAUAAACGCAAGCAGAAUAAAACAUUUUUAACAUAAAUAA